This 232-nucleotide long non-coding RNA is filed under the name Elaeis guineensis (African oil palm). RNAcentral describes it as "long non-coding RNA (EGUI_LNC073873)". The record is from RNAcentral. Lineage: Eukaryota; Viridiplantae; Streptophyta; Magnoliopsida; Arecales; Arecaceae.
AGAUGCUAACUUUCUUACAGAGAUCGCUCCUUAGAUGUUGAAUACUUUUUUUCUUUUUAUCUUCAAAAAAGAACAUCAGAAAACUGGAGGAGGAAACAAGAUAUCAAAUCUCUUUUCUUUUGUCCAACUCUUGGAUAUCUGUGGAGGAAAGGGAGAGAGAGAGAGCCAUCCAACUCUUGGAUCAAAGAGAGAGGGCGUCCAACUACCUUAGACGUGUGGAAGAGAGAGAGGG